UCCAAUGGACCGACUUUAUGGAUGCAAGGAGUAAUGGGGAUGUGGAAGUGAAAAGAGGAACAUGCAGUCAAUGGAACCUGGUACGAAGUGUUAUUGACGAGGAUCUACUGGAGCACUUGAUAGAGCAACACUCUUUCAACUAGUAGUCAGUAGCUCAGAAAAAGGAGAAGAAAGGAGGAUUCUGAGAAGGGGAACAUGUGAGGAGUGUAGUCGGAGUAGUUACAAUCAUUAACGGACAAUUUGAACUGUAGCCAAUGUUU
Bolinopsis microptera is the source of this 260-nucleotide long non-coding RNA. RefSeq lists it as uncharacterized. The transcript has 2 exons. Lineage: Eukaryota; Metazoa; Ctenophora; Tentaculata; Lobata; Bolinopsidae. The record is from RefSeq and is a predicted model, not a curated record.